This 435-nucleotide ribosomal RNA is filed under the name uncultured bacterium. Its description in RNAcentral is "partial 16S ribosomal RNA". It matches the Rfam family "Bacterial small subunit ribosomal RNA", at positions 29 to 507 of the family's 1533-position model. The record is from RNAcentral.
AACGAACGCUGGCGGCAUGCCUAACACAUGCAAGUCGAACGAUUGCCUUCGGGUGAUAGUGGCGCACGGGUGCGUAACGCGUGGGAAUCUGCCCUUAGGUUCGGAAUAACAGCUGGAAACGGCUGCUAAUACCGGAUGAUAUCGCGAGAUCAAAGAUUUAUCGCCUGAGGAUGAGCCCGCGUUGGAUUAGGUAGUUGGUGGGGUAAAGGCCUACCAAGCCGACGAUCCAUAGCUGGUCUGAGAGGAUGAUCAGCCACACUGGGACUGAGACACGGCCCAGACUCCUACGGGAGGCAGCAGUGGGGAAUAUUGGACAAUGGGCGCAAGACUGAUCCAGCAAUGCCGCGUGAGUGAUGAAGGCCCUAGGGUUGUAAAGCUCUUUUACCCGGGAAGAUAAUGACUGUACCGGGAGAAUAAGCCCCGGCUAACUCCGUG